UCACUAUAAUGACUAAUUUCCAGACAUUCGGAGUUUCCACCAGAAAGGUUUUUCCUUAUGUUGGCCAGUUCUUUGGAUGUCUAAGUGA
Molecule: small nucleolar RNA, 88 nt
Filed under: Tursiops truncatus (common bottlenose dolphin)
Lineage: Eukaryota; Metazoa; Chordata; Mammalia; Artiodactyla; Delphinidae
Description: Small nucleolar RNA SNORD14 (ENSTTRG00000023942.1)
Source: RNAcentral